CGGGGCUGUGGGUCCUCGGCGCCCAGGGCUCCUGCGGCGGCGGCACCGGAGGUGUCCCGUGGUCCCAGGGCCCCGCCCGGGAGACGCCCUCGCCCGAAGCCGCGAGGCCGGGCUGCGGCCACUCCCUCCCCUCCUGGAGAGUGGCUGGCUUUGCGCGGGGAGCCGGAGUCCAGCUGCCGAGAAAGCCCCGGGGGACUUUGCUCAGCGGGACCCUGGAACUCUUCUGCUAGAGUAACCGAGAGCUACGGGCUGCGGGGCUGGAGGAGCUGAGCUGACGAUCCGCACGUUGGCGGUGACCGGGUGUCCGCACACAAAGGCCACUCCACCUGGGUGACCACCACCGCGUCUUUAGUCCCGAAGUGGCGGCGAGGCGCGAUCGGAGAGGUAUUUGCUGAGCACCUGGUAUGUUCAGGAUACCGAUAAAGAAGUGUGUGUGAGAUGGUGUAGAAAGUCAUGAACCUUUAUACGAGACUGUAGAAGAAGCAGGUCAUCUGAUGGCAGGACUGCUAGGGAAGUAAAGUAUGAAGAAUGCACGUGUGUCUCCAAAGGCAAACUGGCCACAUGUCAUCCCUGCGAUGGCCGGAGGUGAUGGCCUGGAAGAGCUGUGGCCAGUGAGGAGGGACCAGACUCCUUGGAAGAUGAUGGCCACUGCAGAGUGCACACUCCACUCAGAUCAGCGACACCAACAUACCAUCUCCAGCUUGCUCUCCAGGAAGAAUGAAUACGUGGAAGAUGGCGUUUGAUUCUUCCUGCUGGCUGCUGACCCUAGAGAGACAUCAUGGACAACAUGGACACUCACUUCAACAUGAGGCUACUGAGACAUGUCAUCAGGUAAUUGGCCAGUCAUGCUGUGCCCAAUAGCUGAAGGCUUCCCAAUAGCUGAAGGCUUGAUGGUUCUAGGCAUCUUCCCUAAUUAGGAUGAGAGAGGACACGGGAACCCAAACUCAUGGGUCAUCUGACCCAGGGCUUGCCUGUUUGAAAGGUCAAAGGUCUUCUGUUUAACUCUUCACUUGCCACACUCUCUAGAUUAGAAUCAAGGCACUUUUGUCACUCUGGUUUGGAAAUGCUGCUCUACUCGGUACUCGUCCUGCCCUUCAUGUUGCUGGGUAGGUGGAGGGAUAUUGAACUGGGCAGCCUUGGGUUCUCCAACUGGCAACCAAAACUACAUUCAGGGAUGGUCCUCAGGCCCCACAUUUAAAUAAUCUGUGGUAUUUUAAGUAAAUUUUGCCUGUAGAAUUAGUGUUCAUUCUGUUGAUGGGUGUAGGGGAGUGAGCAAGGAUAUUUAUGUUUUAAUAACCUCCAAAUGAUUCUUAUUAACACUAAAGUUUGAAAAACAUUUCCCUAGAGGAUUCUUCUGUAGGCUUCCAUGAACUUUCUGAGCUUGCCUACACAUUGUGUGUACUUUUUUUUUUUUCUGGAAAGAAUUGAGGUCCACAGCUUUCAAUAACUUCUCAAAGGAAUCUGAAUACAGUGGGGUAAGACCCUCUGAAACAGGCUGGUGGACAGAUGAUAAUGUACACAUAAGGUGUCAGAAAGAGGAAAGACAAUAUUUUUCCCUGGGAAGCAGUUUUUCUACUGUUGAAACAAAUACUUCAUUUUGUAGUUUGGUAAUUUUGUAGUUAACAUUCCCAUUUUGUAGUGGGACCAUCUUGGUACCAUCUUUCUUGGUUAUCCACAUAAACAAGAUUUGUGUUCUAAGGAUAAAAUACGGUGUACUCUUUUCACUAUAACAUAUUGAUCAGUAGCAAAGACUUUGGAAAAGGCUUCUUGGGUUUGAAAUACCGCUUUAUCAUUUAUUAGCUCUGUGACUUCAUGAAAAUAACUUACUCUAUGCCUCUAUUUCCUCAUAUGUAAAAAUAUUCUUCUUAACCCCUCUUAAAGGGUUGUUACAGUUGUAAAUGGGUUGGUGAACAUAUAGCCCUUAACACAGUACCUGGCACAUAGUAAUAAACAUUAGAUCUAUUAUUAUUAUUAUUUAUUGUUGUUACUGUCAUUCAGUUAAUAACACUCAUCAUAGUAUAUCUAAUGUCCACAAUGUCCACUUAGCAGAUAUGUAAUAUAUAUUAUCUCUCAUCUGUAAUUAUGCUGUCUCCUUUGUCCAUUUUCACGUCUUAGAGCACUGAGGUCAUCUCUCUCUCUCUCUU
Molecule: long non-coding RNA, 2144 nt
Organism: Panthera uncia (snow leopard)
Lineage: Eukaryota; Metazoa; Chordata; Mammalia; Carnivora; Felidae
Exons: 4
Source: RefSeq, a predicted model, not a curated record